This 253-nucleotide ribosomal RNA is filed under the name uncultured bacterium. RNAcentral describes it as "partial 16S ribosomal RNA". It matches the Rfam family "Bacterial small subunit ribosomal RNA", at positions 524 to 776 of the family's 1533-position model. The record is from RNAcentral.
UACGAAGGGUGCAAGCGUUACUCGGAAUUACUGGGCGUAAAGCGUGCGUAGGUGGUUCGUUAAGUCUGCCGUGAAAGCCCCGGGCUCAACCUGGGAAUGGCGGUGGAUACUGGCGGACUAGAGUGCGGUAGAGGGUGGUGGAAUUCCCGGUGUAGCAGUGAAAUGCGUAGAUAUUCGGAAGAACACCAGUGGCGAAGGCGACUCACUGGCCCGAUACUGACGCUGAGGCGCGAAAGCGUGGGGAGCAAACAGG